This 468-nucleotide ribosomal RNA is filed under the name uncultured bacterium. RNAcentral describes it as "partial 16S ribosomal RNA". It matches the Rfam family "Bacterial small subunit ribosomal RNA", at positions 28 to 507 of the family's 1533-position model. The record is from RNAcentral.
GACGAACGCUGGCGGCGUGCUUAACACAUGCAAGUCGAACGGAAAGGCCCUGCUUUUGUGGGGUGCUCGAGUGGCGAACGGGUGAGUAACACGUGAGUAACCUGCCCUUGACUUUGGGAUAACUUCAGGAAACUGGGGCUAAUACCGGAUAGGAGCUCCUGCUGCAUGGUGGGGGUUGGAAAGUUUCGGCGGUUGGGGAUGGACUCGCGGCUUAUCAGCUUGUUGGUGGGGUAGUGGCUUACCAAGGCUUUGACGGGUAGCCGGCCUGAGAGGGUGACCGGCCACAUUGGGACUGAGAUACGGCCCAGACUCCUGCGGGAGGCAGCAGUGGGGAAUAUUGCACAAUGGGCGGAAGCCUGAUGCAGCAACGCCGCGUGCGGGAUGACGGCCUUCGGGUUGUAAACCGCUUUCGACUGUGACGAAGCGUGAGUGACGGUAAUGGGUAAAGAAGCACCGGCUAACUACGUG